CUGCUCGAGUUUAUUAGUAGCCAUUGUACAAGUACAAAGUCAAUAAACGUGUUACGGAAUCUGCACAGAAAUGGCACGGUUGCAUUGAGAAAUAGUAAGAGGCUGGUGUAGGAAUUGCUGGGGGGGCUGCUGCCUUGUCUUACCCCAAAGCAGCACAUACAUCUGCAAGCAGCUCUGCAGGGAAGGGAAGGGCCAUUGCAGCUCAGGAUGAGUGCCCAAUGCCUGGCUCGCUGGCAUGCCGCCUGCGUCCUGCUCCUGCUGCUGGCACCAGCCCACACGCCAGGGGCCCCAUGGGUACUGGCAGCGCUCCCAAGCUCUCUGGGGACUCUGACACAGUUGUCAUGGCAGGGUGAUUGGCCUUCCCAAAGAAGAAGCUGGCCCACCACUGGCCGGGGUCAGAUUUGGGCAGACCCGGGUGGUGGGGGAUGACCUCCCCAGCAUACUCAGAGCUACUGCAGGAGCUGUUGCUGGAUGUGGAGCUCAGACGCCUUCGGUGAUAGUUGUGCGUGGCCAUAAGCGAGCCGCUCGAUGGGAUGGAGGCCAUGGCUCCGGGUCCUGGGUUUGUGCUGAUGGAAAACCUGGCCGGCACUAGGGCCCAGUGGGGUCCGGAAGAGAAAGGGGAGGGUAAAGGGGCCCGGCGGGGCGCUCGAAGCCCCCGCCCGAGGGAGCGCAGCACCCGCGUCCGCUCCGCACGGCCUGAGCCGCGGCGC
Molecule: long non-coding RNA, 710 nt
Filed under: Gallus gallus (chicken)
Lineage: Eukaryota; Metazoa; Chordata; Aves; Galliformes; Phasianidae
Source: RNAcentral